AUGACACCACUCCCACUGCAACCAUGGAGACCAGUUUAUGGGAGGCAGUGUUUGUUGUUGUUUUUUAAUUUCCCCUCCUUCCCUCCCUCCCUCCCUUCUUCCUCUCUUUCCCGCCUUCUUUCUUCUCUCCCUCCUUCUCUUCCUUCCUUCCUCCCUCUCCCCCUCCAUCUUUCUCUUCCUCCUUCCCUCCCUCCUUUUUUCUUCCUCCCUCCUUUUCUUCCUUCCUUCCCUCCCUCCCUUCUUUCAUCUUUUUUUGUAGAAAACAUCAGCCUAACCCAUUCCCACCUGUCAGGAACCAUCCCCUGGCCUUUCAGCUCCUUCCCAGAACUAUUUGGCAACUGGACAUCCUGCAGGAGAAUCAGAGGUGGGAAAGCAAAGAGACUGAACAUCUGUUACCUAAGGAAGAAGCCAGCAGUCAGGAUGAAAUCUGGAACUGCUGAGCUGGUGUGGGAGCCACUGACCUGGUGUCUAGGGAGGCAAAGCUGCCCUUGUUACAAAAUGGUACCUGGAUGGGAGAGUACAGCCUGGUUCUCUUUCCAUUACAUGCCCCCAACACAGGUUUACUGGGAAGAGAACAUGAGGUAAGAUGGCUUUGCUCCUCCUCUUUCUCUGAGAUGCUUUGGUUUGUGGACAUGGAGCCUGGCUAGUCUCGGUGCCCAUCUGCAGAUAAGGGGGGGAAGACUUGCAGCCCUGGUAUAGACAGCAGGACAUCUCUGGAGGCACUCAGUGCAGAGGGUCAGGUGAAACCAGCUAUGGCCCCACUUCACAAUGACUCAUUAAUUAGGGGGUGAAAAAUAGGUCAGAUUUCCAUUUCAAAGUAGAGUGGCAUGCAGAAAUUCAAUACUAUGCAAAUCAGAAUUUUGUACGACAAAACAGUAUCUUUCCAUGUAAGUUUGGUUGGACAGUUGUGGUAAUAUAAAUGCUAUUAGUGAGUACACUGUCUUAGCCCUGAGGUAUGACUUAAUGGUCCCAGGUACACAAAAUUUCUAUCAGUCAUUUAGUGAUAUAUUUUUUUUUUAAGAAAAGCAAAUGUGGACCAUUACUGCUAUGGCCCUACAUUCAUGCUGACAUGCUUUGCAAGAAAUCUCAUUGCAUUAUUUAUUUCAGAGUCAAAGUGCUUACUUUAUGGAGAAGGUAAAAUUUCACCUGUAGGAAAAUUGGCACAAUUUCUUAUUUUAACAUCCUCAGUGCCAAGCAUUAAAAAAGGCCCUUUCUGUUUGGGUAAUUUUCCGCAGCAGGAACUUUAAAUUAUUUACAGCUUCUCUUAUCUGAAACCAGAGGAAACACACUGUUUUCCAUGCCACGAUUUAUACUGUGAACUGUUUGUAGGAAAAAAAAGUGGGGGCGGGGAGUAAAUUACAGAUGUGAGCAAGAAUCAGAGACAGAGCAAAGGAUUGUCACAAAACCAUGGUGUCUUUCUCUUGUGGAAGCUGAGGUGGGUCUAAGGGACCCUGGGAGGGCAGGGAACAUCAAGAUGGUUAGAAAUUGCCUUGUUUUGGGGAGCUUCUGCAGUGGUUCCCAAAUAAGCAACAGUGAAUGACCAAAAGCUGGAAUGAAAUGAGCAAAACCUGGGUGGGUAAUUGGAGGCACUGCUAGACAGAGACCUUGAUCCCCGGGUCAAGAAGAUCCCCUGGAGUAGGAAAUGUCAACAGUUCCAUGAACAGAGGAGGCUAGUGGGCUAUAGUCAGUCACAAAGAGUCUGACAUGACCAAGCACGAGUUCUAGCUAGCUAGAUAGAGACCAGGGCUGGUGGCUCAGGUUGUAGCAAUAAGGCUUGGCUGUGUCUUAUGGGAAGUGUCAGCGAAGUAUACUGGUGGACAGAGCAUCUGUGUUCCUGGAGAGGCCAGAGGCAUUUUCCCUUCCUCCCUUCUCAGCCUUUAGCCUUCCUCAGCCUUCUUAUCACACUCCCUUCCUACUGAAUUGCGCUAUCCUGAGGCAUCCUCUGAUUAGUGUUGCCAGAUGUUCCUGGUCUUGGUCCCCUCCUCUGAUUAAGAAUUUUACAUCUUGGUUUUGAACUGAUCUCCUGUCAGUUUAAUUAGUGAGGGUGAGUCUGUCGAGCCUGAUUUUCUGGACCUGUAUGGUCAGAAUCACACCUAAAAACUGAGAGAGCAGACUCUUUGCAGUUCUCCUGUGCCCUCCUUCUGCUUCUAUUAAUUGACUCAGUUCAACUAAAUACAACAGUAACAACAGGGGUUUAUACUGAUUAAGCUGCAUUAUGAUGAGUAUCAAAAGGGUUGUCUCCCUUGAUUCUUAGCUCAAUGAAAUACAUAGACUAACACACAUUUUGCAGCUAGAGAAAUUGAAGCUCACACAGGUAGGGAGAGGUGUUGGCAGGAUUCACAUGAGACACCUGCCUGCAGAAAACAACUUCCCACCUCAGAAACCACCUGUGAUGCUGAGGAGCAAGUGAGCCCUCCUCACUGGACCUCAUCAUGUGAUGUCGUUCAGGAGGCUCUGCCUCACCAUCCGUUUAACCUACUAUUACCAACUGUGAUACUGUUGUUAAUAACAGAACAUGUAUUGCUGUGUUGUGCUCAGUCAUGUCUGAUUCUGUGAUCCCAUGGACUGUAGCCUGCCAGGCUCCUCUGUCCAUGGAAUUUCCCAGGAAAGAAUACUGGAGUAGGUGUCCAUUUCCUCCUCCAGGGGAUUUCUCGACUCAGGGAUCAAACCCAUGUCUCCUGUAUCUCCUGCUUUGGCAGGUGGAUUCUUUACCACUGAGCCACUUGGGAAACCUGAACAUUUAUUGAGUAUGUUAUAAUUUUCAAAACGUUUCCUCAUCAUGCUCUCUUUUGAACCUCACAACAGGUACAGGACAAAUGUUUUCACCUUCUUUUAUGGUAGAAUAGCAUAACUCAGGAGUGUAUGCCUAAGGUUACCAGCCAAAUGAGCAAAGAAUGAAACAGAGCCCUCUGAUCAUGAGGCCUGACCAUGUUGCCCUCCCUCAUAAGCCCACCAUACCUCUCCUGUUCCAAGACUUCUGUUUCCAAUCACAACAGUCAUUCAUUAAAUUUUGGCAACAAUGAGUGUCAGGGUGUCAGGGCUUCAGGUGAAGGGACCACAAUGAUGGGCAGCCAGGGAGCAGAAGGGGUCAUAUUAUCUUUUCAUUUCUGUGGCAGUCUACACCCCAACCAGGAGACACGCUAAGGCUCAGGGCAAGGAAGGUUUGAGUCUUGAAAAAAGUUGCCCCUGAGAAGGCUGGGCACAAUUUCCUAGCGAUUGUGCUAGGGGAGAACAGAGAGAUUCUUUAAUCAGAGAAGGACUGAUACAGAAGACCCGUCCCAUUAAGUCAAAGGCAGUGUAGAGACUGGCAAGUGGUGAGGAGAAGCACAAAGCAAACUGGAGAUAAGUGCCACGUGCUUGAGCAACAGGAGCUUCAUUGUGAUUGCUGUUGUGAUAAGAGAGUCUUUGUCUAAAUAACAGCUGUUUAGACAUAGGGUGGAAUGAAGAAACAGCUUGGGAGGCCUUGGAGGUCCUGCCAACAGUGAACUUUGGAGUCAUCAGAAUUCUACUGCAUUACAUACUGGAUCUGUAAUCUGGACCAAGGAGCUUAUCCCUCUUUGCUCCAAGUUGCCCAACUGAAAAACAGGAAUAACACUUCAUUCAUGACAAUGUUCUGAGAAUUAAAUGUGAUGACAUACACAGACAGCCUCACAGAGGAUCUGGCACACACUGGAGCAUCAGUCCAUGCUAUUUCCUGUCUUUCUUGUCUCUUCUUCCACACCGUGAAUGAGGACCAUGGCUCCAUCUCAUGGGAUAAAUGACUUAGUCCAAACCCAACAGUUGGCACGUUCAGAAAUCUGCCUAGUAGUGAUCCAGUCCAGGCAAGGAGAAAUAUAUCUUUCCUUUGAGAAGCUUCUGGUCUUCAUUGGGUGGGGAGAAGCAUAUGCUAAAAUAACUAAGCCACAUUCAAUCCACAGGGUGACAAAGAGUCAGACAUGACUGAGCAAUUCACACGUUCAAAUAUAAACUGAAUCACUUUGUUGUACACCUGAAACUAACACAAUUUUAUAAAUUAACUAUACUUCAAUAAACAAAUGGAAUAAAAUAGAAAGCCCA
Molecule: long non-coding RNA, 4056 nt
Filed under: Bos indicus x Bos taurus (hybrid cattle)
Lineage: Eukaryota; Metazoa; Chordata; Mammalia; Artiodactyla; Bovidae
Description: lncRNA (ENSBIXG00005022927.1)
Source: RNAcentral